Molecule: ribosomal RNA, 223 nt
Filed under: uncultured bacterium
Lineage: Bacteria
Description: partial 16S ribosomal RNA
Rfam family: Bacterial small subunit ribosomal RNA
Source: RNAcentral
GGUUUAAUUCGAAGCAACGCGAAGAACCUUACCAGGUCUUGACAUCUUCUGACAAUUCCAGAGAUGGAACGUUCCCUUCGGGGACAGAAUGACAGGUGGUGCAUGGUUGUCGUCAGCUCGUGUCGUGAGAUGUUGGGUUAAAGUCCCGCAACGAGCGCAACCCUUAUUGUCAGUUGCCAUCAUUAAGUUGGGCACUCUGGCGAGACUGCGGUGACAAACCGGA